GCUACACUGUCAAUUUACUGGGUGAACAGUUUCCUUUAUAACCCCAAGCAUCAGGCUUUUCUACCUAUAAAAACAGAAAUAAAACCAGGCAAGUUGAUGCAAGCAUUUGCUACAGAAAAGGAGGGCUAGGAUUAAAGGCAUGCACCACCGGGAUUAAAGGUGAGUGUCGUUGUGGCUACUGGGAUUAAAGCCACAGGUUACACUGCCCUGCAGCGUUCAGUGAGAAACAUACUGACUAGCCGACGGACCUACAGGCCAAGCCAGUGGGGACGCCAUCUGAGCAUUUACUUACUGCUUGGCUCCCGGAGCUGCCUGCCUGGAUGUUACGGCUUUCAGAGAGCUCUGUGAGUUCUGGAAGGCUAUUAGGCUAAACCCCCCCAUGAGCCCACCAUCAGGUGCACAAGCAGAAUCCCACCAGCACUCAAGACUCUGACUUUGCACCCUUCUGGUCUCCGCCAUCCCAGGGCAGCUGCUCUCCUGUGGACUGACUCUGCCAGAUGUUGGACUAGGAGUGGGAUAGCACAGCCUGUGAAGUGCUUCCUAUUCAACAAUACUUUGAUGAGCUCCCUCACGGCUGUGUGCAGUGGGAAGUUCCUCUCUUCCAUCUGCUGGUGUAUUGGAUCAGACUGUAUGCAUACUGUACCACAAUGUAACCAUGUUGGUGGUGGGGGAUAUGAGUGGCUAGUUUGGAGUUUAAAUCCAAACUAGUUCUUUUUCUUAAAUACAUUAAGUUUGUUUCCAUUUAAAAAUAUUUUUUAAGUUAACAUUCAAAGUGAUGGGUUUCAUUGUGACAUCUUCAUACAAAUGUGUCAUUAUACUUGGUUCUAAUCCCUUCCCCACCCCCACUACACUGUCUCCUCUGUCACACUCUAUACUGACCCUAUUGUCAUGCUCCCUUCUGCUUUUGUACCACCUGUAUUCCAUUGUGCCCUCUUCCCCGCAUGUGCCCCUCCUUUAAUAUUUCUUUCUCAUGGUCUCCUUUCUACUUUCAUCACAAACACACACAGGCUUGAGUGCACACACACAUGAGCAAGUACACACAUGUGAAAGAGUACACAUACAGGCACUAGCACACAUGCACAAGGAUACACACCUGUACAUGAGUACACACACACAUGAUCACAUACAUUAAAAACAUGCUGUAUUUGUCUUAAUGAGUCUGGCUUUUUACAGUUAACUUCUCUUUUAAGAAUAUGGUCAUGUUUUCUGGAAAGAGGAGUAAUUUGACUUCCCAUUUGUAACCCUUUUAUUUCUUUUUCUGUCUUGCUGAUAUUUGAAUGGUUUGAUGAAUAAGGAUGGAGAAAGUGGGUGCCCCCGUCUUAUUUCUGGUUUUAGAGGGCGUGUGUUCAUUUUCCAUGGUUUUAUCUAAUGGUUACAUGAACUAUACAUAGAGAUUUGCCUUAUGCGGCCUUCAUUGUCUUGAGGUGUGUUCCUUCUGUCCCUAGUGCCUUCUGAGAUUUACUAGAAAGGGAAAUUGAACGUUGUGAAGGUCUUCUCUGUGUCAGUAGCACUGGCCACAGGAUUCUGUUGCUGAUCUAUUUGUGCUGUGCUUCUGUGUCUUUGGACGUGUGCGCAUUUCUAGUGGCUGUUUUGUGAAGAAGAGAAUUGCUGUGUCCGCAGGCUGUCACAGACAGUGCAGUUUCCAGAAUGUUCUGAUUAGUGUUCCCAGUCUAAGUUUUCCAUUAGGUCCUCAUAAUCACCAACACUUGGUAAUUCUGUCCCGUUACUUUAUUCAUUUUGCAAAUCUCUCUUUUUUACAUUUAUGUUGAUUUUCCCUUGAUCGUAUCAGCUUUGGCUUAAUAGCCCACUAUUUAUUUGUGCAAAUAAAUAUACACACGUGUACUCUUCUGUCACACCAGAGGCAAUCCUAUCUAUCUAGUCCUCUGUCUUGCACAUUGUUUUUUUUUUUAAAUUUCAACAAUGUGUCCAGUGAUUUCUGUGUAAUUCAAUGUCUUUUUUAUAGCUACAUAGUAUCUGGCUGCAUGAAUAUAGUUUAAUUUUUCUACCAUUCUCUUAUCAGUGGGCACUUACAUUAUUUCCCCACAUUUCCGAUUAUAAAUAUGCCAUAACCAAUGGGAUUAUUCACAAGACUUUUCACAGUUUUGCUACUGUGUCUUUGCAUUGUAUUCUUAGAACUGGUGCUGCCAGGCCCACGAUGGAUGCAUUUGUAAUUUAGCUGUGCAUUGACAGAUUUCCAUGUUCUUCCAUGGAGAUUGUUCAUUUUGUAUUUCUACAAGCGCUCUGUGAGACAUGCACUUAUAUAACUCUUGCAAUACAUUUUUUAGAAUAUAUAUAGCCAGGGAGUUAAAACAGUGGUACUUUUUUUUUAAAUGAAGAAUCUUCAAAAGUUAAGUAUUUGAUUUUUAUCAUAUAACUUAAUAUACUACUUUAAUAUUCCUUAUGUAUAUAUUUUUGAGUUUAAAAUAUAAUAAAUAUUCAUGGUUUUUAAAUCUUUUGGUUGUGAAGUUAUGGAAAAAGUAAAGAAUUCGUAGAGUCAUGUAACUGGGAAAUCAGAGGCAAAGACAGCCUGUUAUUUUCAGGUACAGUAGGAUCCAGGCUUGGUCUUCCGGUCCUCCCUCCCUUCCUUCUUCCUUUCCUCCCUCCCUCCUUUCCUCCCUCCUUUUUUCCUUCCCUCCGUCCUUCCCAGGGGACUGAGCUUAGUGCUUCCCCUAUGCUAGGCAAAUGUUCUCCCAUGGGCUAUAGCCCGACCUCAGUAUGGUUUCUAUACUGGCAGGCUUAGUCCCUGGUUUUCAUUGCCUUUGCAACCUCCAACACCAGCAGGCAGGAGGGUGGCCUUUGUCCUGAAUAUGCAGGUAUCUCCUCAAAUGACUCUGGCCCUUACUUUGGGUCAGCCCCCAAUGCAUGUUUGUUUAACUGAGAACUCUCCUGUUUGGUCACUGCAAUCAGUUAAGUCCCUCGUGGAGAGUGUUUCCAGGUUUUACUGCACACUGACAGGAUUAUUAAUAUUAUUAUGUUGCUGUUACACAUCUUUUAUAUUCUACACUUUUAUGUACUUACUAUAUGUUUCUACAUGUAGGAUUACGAGGUGAACGAAUAUGAACAUUUUAUAGAUAGGAUAUGAUGGAGGAAGGUCAUUGGUUAAGUAAUAAAGAAACUGCUUGGCCUCAUAGGUUAAAACAUAGGUGGGAGGAGUAAACAGAACAGAAUGCUGGGAGGAAGAGGAAGUGAGCUCAGAGGCCAUGCUCCCCUCUCCCGGGUAGACGCCAUGAAGCAAGCUGCCAGGUCAGACAUGCUGAAUCUUUCCCGGUAAGACUGAUGCUACACAGAUUAUUAGAGGUGGGUUGAUUGGGAUAUGAGAAUUAGCCUGUAAGGGCUAGAGUUAAUGGGCCAAGCAGUGUUUUUUUUUUAAUUUUUUUUCAAACUUUUUUUAAUUUUAUGUAUGAGUACUCCCCAUGUACACCUGCGUGUCAGAAGAGGGCAUCAGAUCCCGUUGUAGAUGGUCAUGAGCCACCAUGUGGGUGCUGGGAAUUGAACUCAGGACCUCUGGAAGAGCAGCCAGUGCUCUUAACCGCUGAGCCAUCUCUCCAGUCCCUCCAAGCAGUGUUUAAAAGAAUACAGUGUCCGUGUAAUUAUUUCUGGGCAUAAGCUAGCAGGCGACCGGAGUGCUGGGGACGCAGCCCCGCCACUCCUACUACUACAAGGGUAAAAGUCUACCCAGUGUAUUUUGAAUGACAUACAGUCUCAGUAGCCCUUGUCAACACUGUUGUUCUACCAUACCACAGGGAGUAUUAUGAAUUUUAAUUUUACAAGGGUUAUCACAUUCUUUCAUGCUUACUUUACAUCAAAGAAUAUCUGUUCUGUUUAUAGUAGACAUUCAACAUACAGUAUAACUCUUGAUUAACAUGUCAUAUUUUCCUAUAUUCUUUUUCUGAAUGUCUACACUCUCUCCUUCAGGUUUAGAAAGGAAAAAAAAACUGUGAAAUUAAAUAAGAAUGCUGAGGGCAAAGACGUCAAGUCUUUUUGUUUCCUCACGUAUGCUUAGGUUUUAUCGAGUACCCUGAGUAGGUAGUGGGGCGUCAAGAAGUGGCGUGAAGUAUGUUAGGCUGACCAUCAUUUCUUCAGUUAUUCUAUUAUGGCUUCUCCAAGUAGACACAAAAUUCACAGUGUGCUUCCUAGGUUAGCUGGCAAGGCAGAUACCCAUGUGCUUUUCCCAAUCAGACUGUAAGUCCUGGGUGCAUUAUUCAGAGUUUCUGGAAAUGCCCCCACUGUGUCCCUAUGGUGGUUCUCAUCCAAGAUGACCUGGAGCUGGUUGGAAAUUCAAGUUCUCAGGUCCAAUUUCAGAUGUACUGCAGCAGGACCUCUGGACACAGGACCUUGCAAUACAUGUGUGUGUCUGUUUCAUGGUAGCAAAAUAUGCAAAGCAUAAAAUUUACCAUCACAGUCACUCUCAAGUCUGUAAUUCACCUUGGGAAACCUUCCUUUACAAUUCUUUGCCUCUGGAAGCACUAAAGUCCUGCAGACAUCUCCAUGUUCUCUACUUCCUUGAGCCCUGGCAACCAUCACUCUCUUUCCUGUCUCUGUGGACUGACUGCUCCAAGUGCUUCUCAGAAGUGGGAUCAUGAAACAUCUCCCUCUUUUCCAUUGUCUUGUUUCCCUCAGCAUCAUGUCCUCAAAAUGAAUCCAUGUCGUAGCAUAUAUCAGUAGUACCAAAAUUCCCUUGUAUAGGUAUACCAUAUUCAGUUUAUUCUGCCCUCCCAGGAAUGGGGGACACCAGACUGCCUCCCCUGGCAGUUUGCAUUUCCUCACGCCUACUAGGUGAUUCAUUUCAAUGUUUAAAUUUCAAAAUUUCUGGGUACAAGGAAUGAAGUGUGGUAACUGAUUGUCAUCUGGGCAAGUCUGGCAUUGUUUUUAGAAUGUUUUGAGCUGUACUUGACACAGCAAGUUAUUUUGUGUAACUGGUGGGUUUGUGUGUCAGCUUGACACAAACAGGAGUCAUCAGAGGAAGGAGCCUCAGCUGAGGAAAUGCCUCCAUGAGAUCCAGCUUUAAGAUCUUGUUUUCAUUUAGUGACCAGUGGGAGAGGGCCCAACCCAUGGCGGGUGGUCCCAUCCCUGGACUGUUGAUCCUGGGUUGUAUAAGAAGGUGGGCUGAGCAAGCCAAGGGAAGCAAGCCAGUAAGCAGCACACCUCCAUGACCUCUGCAUCAGCUCCGGCCUCCAGGUUCCUGCCCUGCCUGAGUUCCUGUCCUGACUUCCUUCAGUGAUGAACAGCAAUGUUAAAGUGUAAGCCUAAUAAGCUCUUUCCUCCCCAAUUUGCUUUUUGGUCAUCGUAUUUUGUCAGAGCAAUAGAAACCUUACCUAAGACACUCUGCAUGCUUCAUAGGAGGGCAGAACACCUCAGCUUCCGGGGAUCCCACAAGGAUGCAGAGUGGAGUCCUACAGUGCCAGGUCUAAGAUCUUUAGUCACGUCUGAAAGAAAAAUUGUUCAACUAAGCAGGACUCUGAAUGUUGAUAAACCGCCCUUCACUGAGACACUGGCUAAUCUGAUCUUUGAAAUUGGAAUUCCUUUAAAACCGUCUAAGUCAAAAGAUGAAGAGAAUAAAAGAGAAAGUAGAGAGAGAAAAGGGCGUGUGCCUUAAAUAACGUCAAGAUAAACAGAGCAGUUUGCAUGAUGCUCACAUGGAUGCAGUGAGCUGUUGCUGGAGUUGACAGGUAGAGAGCUAUUUUGAAUGAGCUGGAUUCUCUUUCAGUUACCAGGGAACAUUUGAGGUUAUGUAAGCUGUCACAACAAGGACACUCAAAUCUCACGAAUCAGAGCACUAACUGACAGCCCGAGGUAGUCAGUCAGUUGAGGACCUGCGGUGAUCUGCAGCUUGGCAAAGUGGGCUUUGGGAUGAGGAGGUUCAUUUUUCCCAGAGUCUAAGCCACAGUGUUCUGCUGGAGGCAGAAUGCAAUAUUAGACAGGCUAAUGAUAUGAUAUGAUUUGGUACAAGGUUAUUAAUUCUAGCUAAAGAAAUGAAUGCAUAUAUUUGAUUGCAAUGCAUUUUAUUUGGAAAGAGCAAAUUAUUCAAAUGAUGAUAUUCUUGAGGCCUGGCAUGGGCAUGUAUCUAGAUACAGUAAAUCUGAGUGAAUAAAUGUCAUAACCAAUGAAUCAAUUUUGAUCCGAUUUAUUGGGUACUUAAAACAUGCAGGCUAAAGGGAGAGUUCAUAAUGACAUUUCAAUCCAAGACUUGCCAUGUAUGUGAAGGUGAUUAUAUAAGAUUGUAAUGGAGUUGAACAUGCCUGUUUCUAAUGACAUCAUAACAGUUACAAUGUCCUAGCACAACAUGUGACUCACACACGCUUGUGGUGAUGCCACAUGGGCCAAGCCCACUUUACUUUUUGCAUACAUGUUGCAUACAUGUAUAGCACACACAAUUGCAUGCAGUAUACAACGCUUGGUAAGGAUCACGAAUGGUUAUGCUACUGCUUUCUUUAGUACAGUCUACCAUACAAACCAUCAUGCUAGCGUGCUCUUCCUCUUGUGGAAACUGUUCACUGCUAACAGCGACCUGCUUGUCUGCUGCCGCCUCACCCACCUCAUAUCCCCUGCCUCUCUUCCUGGCAGCAUUCGCUUCAGGGCUUCAUCUAAUUUUCUGCUGUUUGGAUGGCCAUGGCACCAGGAGCGGGAGGCGGUAUCACAGCAGCUAGGCAUGGAGCAGCCCGUGCCACCCAGGUGUCUGCACAUUUGCUUUACAGUGUUCACACCACGAGAUCCCCUAACAGCGGGUGUUCCUGUAGUUACAUGAUCCAGGACUACAAAUAGGUCACCAGACUCUCCAGAGUGUGAAUACAUACACGGGCAAUGUGCUUUCAUUGACGCAGCUCCUCUUGCUCUCACAGAACGAGCACACGACCUCGGACAACUUCUUAACCUCCCUAGUUAAAGCUUCCCAAUGUUUGCAGCUGGGUGGAUGCGAGACCCCAAGUUAAACAGCCCUACAGCUUUCUGCUUCUGCUUCUUAUGUUUUAUUUUCAUUUUUGGGGGGGAGGGUAGAAUUUUCAUCUACUAAUUCACUUCGCAAUGUGUGAGAGAGCAUGUAAGGCGCUGUGCUAUAAUUCUCCCCAUAACUUAUUAAUCACUUUCCUUUCUCAUCACUAUAAAACGGCUCUGCUAAAUGUCAGGGACAACAACAAAAAUCUCCAUAAACGGAUCACCAUAAAACUCAUCCCAGAAUAGCAAGCACUCUGCUUCCUGGCACAGCUCCCACCAGAGGUUAGCAUCUCUCCUACCUUCCUGGUUCCCAAGGCCCAAGAGAUGGGAGUCUAACAUAUGGCCCGGGUGCUACCCCACCCCUGUGCCCUUCACGGUCUCCUGACCUCAGCUUCAUAGAGAAGCUUCUAAAAGCCUGGCGACCAAUCAGCAAUACCAUGCAAAAGUUUUUGCUUUAAAAAAGCCAUUUCAGAGGCAUUUGGUUAUUUAAAGAUUUGAGGCUUCAAAAACACAUCCGUCCCAUGUGACAGAGACAUGGGACUAGCAGAUGUUGCCUGGUUUUUAUUUUACCUUGGGAUUUCAUGGUAUCCGUUUUUCAAUUUCUAGCUAAGUAUUAAAUGCUUGUAGGAUUUAAGUGGCUUGUUUAAUUAAGCUUUAAAAAAUGUAUUUAAACUUUAGAUCGGCCUAGAUAAUUCAAAAAUAGAAACAAGUGUGGCAAGUCUGCCAGGUCAGGCUUGAACUCGAGUGCACUCCAUCCUAAAUGACUUGAGCCACGGGAAGUACAGUUCUGGGGGUCUCCGAGUAAGCAGUUUCAAAUUCUUGACUUUUUCAGGGCUAUUUUUACAUAAGCAAGGCUAUUAUGCUCUCUUUCUGGCUCCCAUCACUUAAAAAAUAGCCCUUUUCAGGUCUGAAGUUGGGGAAGGAAGAGUGCGCAAGAAUUAAAAAUGAAUACGACGUCAGCGGUGCCACACACCUGGGCCUCAUUUUUAUUGCAGCAGCGGAGCCCGGUGACAGCCACAAUAAACAGGCACUGAAGAGCUGCCUUCAAGUGCCGAGCUCGAGCAUCCCACUUCCUUCCGGUUUAGGGCUUAUUGCUCGGCCGUCUGAAAUAGAAUUGAACCCAGCAGUUUGGACUCAGCCCAAUGUGCGAAAUCGCUCCUGUACUGUUUGUGGUAUCAAGCGACGUCUCCAGAUUAGAACUGGGGAGUUGACGGAAGCAUAGCCGCGUGACUGUCUCCAUCAUUGGUCUUCUACUGAGAUGCUGAGAGUCAUAUUUAUGAGAGCAGACGGGCUGACUUCGCAAAGUGCAGCAAUUCCUUUUUAAUGAACAUGUGUUCUAAACAACGUCUUUUCUCCUGUGUGGGGGCAGUAAUUCCAUAGUUUAUAUAAUAAAGCUAACUGUAUCCGACAUCCGGGAUGUGUUCUGGUGAUGUAGUCCUUCCCUGUAAAGCCCACCUAGAUGCGUUCUUUCUGCCGUUAUUACCUUUUGGGAAGAAGCAGGCUGUGAAAGUCGGGACCUGGUU
This is a long non-coding RNA of Alexandromys fortis (reed vole), 8453 nucleotides long. RefSeq lists it as uncharacterized. Lineage: Eukaryota; Metazoa; Chordata; Mammalia; Rodentia; Cricetidae. The transcript has 4 exons. The record is from RefSeq and is a predicted model, not a curated record.